RNAcentral lists this ribosomal RNA (409 nucleotides) under Fusobacteriota bacterium. RNAcentral describes it as "Fusobacteria bacterium partial 16S ribosomal RNA". It matches the Rfam family "Bacterial small subunit ribosomal RNA", at positions 355 to 776 of the family's 1533-position model. The record is from RNAcentral. Lineage: Bacteria; Fusobacteriati; Fusobacteriota.
UGGGGAAUAUUGCACAAUGGAGGGAACUCUGAUGCAGCAACGCCGCGUGCGGGAUGACGGCCUUCGGGUUGUAAACCGCUUUCAGCCAUGAUGAAGCUUUUGUGACGGUAGUGGUAGAAGAAGCACCGGCUAACUACGUGCCAGCAGCCGCGGUGAUACGUAGGGUGCGAGCGUUGUCCGGAAUUAUUGGGCGUAAAGAGCUUGUAGGCGGUUUGUCGCGUCGAUAGUGUAAACACGCAGCUUAACUGUGUGCCUGCUGUCGAUACGGGCUGACUAGAGGAGGGUAGGGGAGAAUGGAAUUCCCGGUGGAGCGGUGGAAUGCGCAGAUAUCGGGAGGAACACCAGUGGCGAAGGCGGUUCUCUGGACCUUUCCUGACGCUGAGAAGCGAAAGCGUGGGUAGCAAACAGG